AAUAUCAUAGCAUAUCUUUAUCCAACUUCUUAUCAUAUCUUAUCUAUAUCUUAUCAUGUUUACCAAAUGGACCAUUAGAGAGAGAGUAAAUAAUAAUGCCGCCUUCACUUUUGGUAUAUGAAGGUCAUGAAGUUCUUUCCUUCUCUUCCAUACAUCUCAUAAAUCCUUCGAAGUUCCAAAAACAUUCAUCAAAAUCUAAGAUUCGGAGUUGGUUUUUAAAAAAUUUAGAUUCUAAAAUAUGAACACUAGAUAUAAGUCAUGAAACCCUUCUUCUUCCCUCUUCACUUAUGCAUUUUUCUUUGGAGUCGAAAAUCCUCACAUUCAAAAUAAUUUGCAUUUCCUCAUUUAUCAUCAAAUCUUGGUCAAAUCAUUAUGCAUUCAAGUAUUUAACAUCGAGUUAGUACAUAUUUGCUUAAAUAUUUUAUUUUUAUUUGUUGGUAUUAUUCUGGAUAUAGAUUUUAAGCAUUGCUUGAUGCAUGCAUUUGUCUCUUUGUAUGUGUGAGGAUUUGUAUAUGUGUUGAUUUUUUAUUUAUGUUUUUCAUUAUUUUUAAUAAAGGGUGGAAAUACUGUGUUGAGAGAUAACCUUGAUGGGGAACAUAUACAUUGAUGUUUCCUCUACUAGGCAGAAGCGUCAACGUAUGAUUUGAAUGGACAAUGUUAAAUCAUAUGAGCUAGAUGCUACUUAGUAUAGCCGUAUUACUAGGUGGGAAAUAUCGGGCUAAGAA
RNAcentral lists this long non-coding RNA (725 nucleotides) under Lathyrus oleraceus (garden pea). RNAcentral's name for it is "Pisum sativum (pea) long non-coding RNA (PSAT_LNC026869)". Lineage: Eukaryota; Viridiplantae; Streptophyta; Magnoliopsida; Fabales; Fabaceae. The record is from RNAcentral.